RNAcentral lists this long non-coding RNA (2732 nucleotides) under Cricetulus griseus (Chinese hamster). RNAcentral's name for it is "lncRNA (ENSCGRG00000025075.1)". The record is from RNAcentral. Lineage: Eukaryota; Metazoa; Chordata; Mammalia; Rodentia; Cricetidae.
CUGAUGUGGUGGAUGCUGGCCCGGGAAGUACUCCGUAUGCGUGGCACUAUCUCCCGUGAGCACCCAUGGGAGGUAAUGCCUGACCUUUACUUCUACAGAGACCCAGAGGAGAUUGAGAAGGAGGAGCAGGCUGCUGCCGAGAAGGCUGUGACCAAGGAGGAAUUUCAGGGUGAAUGGACAGCGCCAGCGCCAGAGUUCACUGCUGCUCAGCCAGAGGUGGCCGACUGGUCUGAGGGUGUGCAGGUGCCCUCUGUACCCAUCCAGCAGUUUCCUACUGAAGACUGGAGUGCCCAGCCAGCCACUGAGGACUGGUCAGCAGCUCCCACAGCACAGGCCACUGAGUGGGUUGGAGCCACCACUGAGUGGUCCUGAGCUGCUCUGCAGACAGCUGAGCAAAGGGAAAAAAGGUGGAAGGAAAAUAAAGUUCUUACAAGUUGUCUCGUGAAGUCUUUACUUGGAUUGCUACUGCAGGAUGCUAAUGGCAUUGGAGAGGGGGUAAUGACCUGAUUCAUGUUGAAUACUUAACCUUGAGAGUAGGUUUGGGGUGUGGGUUGUUUUUUUGUUUGUUUUUGAGAUAGGGAUUCUCUGGCUUUGGAGCCUGUCAUCUUGUAUAGACUAGGCUGAUCUCGAACUCAACACAGAGAUCCACCUGCCUCUGUUUCCGGAGUGCUGGGAUUAAAUGUGCACCACCCGGCCUAAUGUUACAUUUUAAAGUCUUAAAAUGUCCUGUGUUUUAAAGUAAAAAAAAAAUGACAUCCUGAAAUUCACAGGCAAAUGGGUGGAACUAGAAGAAACCAUCUGGAGUAAGCAAACAUAGACACAAAUACGGUAUGUACUCGCUCAUAUAUGGAUAUUGGACAGUGCAAAGGAUAACCAGACUACAAUCCACCAACACGUGGUCCCACAGAGAGGGGAAAGUGACAAGAUCUGAGCAAAUGGGGAGCAUGGUCAGGAAGGUCAAGUUAGGGGAAGAACAGGAGGAGAUACCUUAAUAGAGGGAGCCAUUAUGGGCUUAAUGAGAAACUUGGCACUAGGGAAUUUGCCAGGAAUUCACAAGGAUGACCCCAACUAAGAAUCUAAGUAGUGGAGAGACUGCCUUAAAUGCCCUUCUCCUUGGUCUUUUCUGUCCAUCCGCCAUGGCGGGUGGGUGAAAGACCCGAGCUAACAUGGGGUUAGCUCAUUAAAUUACAAUAAAGCCUCGUGCAGUUUGCAGCAAGAAAAAAAAAUGCCCUUCUGUAAUGAGAUCUAUGACUACAUUGAAUUCCAUCAAAGAGCCUUCAUCCAGUAGCUAUUGAAAGCAGAAGCAGAUUCACUGCUAAGCCCUGAGAUAAAAGUUGUAGAGUGAGGAGUGAUAAGCAAAGGGAUCAAGACCCUGUUGGGGAAGCCCACAGAAAGUGGGAACUCAUGGACCACAGUCUGACAGCUGGGGAGCCAACAUAAGACCAAACCAGGCCCCCUGAAUGUGGGUAUCAGUCGUGGGGCCUCUGGCAGUGGAACCAGUGUUUAUCCCCAGUGUACAAAUGGACAUUGGGAGCCGAUUCCCUAUGGAGGGAUACUCAGCCUAGAUACAACAGAGAGGGCCUUGGUCCUGCCCCAGUGAUGACAGACUUUGAUGAUCCCCCAUGGGAGGCCCCACCCUCCCUUAGUGGUGGAUGGGGGAGGCUUUGUGGAAUGGGGACAGGUGGAGGGAGAGGAAACUGGGAUUGGUAUGUAAAAUAAGGUUUUUAAUUUAAACAAAAAUUAAAAAAAUGCCCUGAGUUUUAAUGCCAUUAAGUAGAAGGUUGCUCACAUCCUUGUUUAUAACAAAAAUUUUGUAAAAUGUUAAAAUCAGGAAGCUGGAGAGAUGGCUCAGAGAUUAAGAGCACCGACUGCUCUUCCAGAGGUCCUGAGUUCAAUUCCCAGCAACCACAUGGUGGUUCACAACCAUCUGUAAUGAGACCUGGUGCCCUCUUCUGGUGUGCAGAUAUACAUGGAAGCAGAAUGUUGUUUACAUAAUAAUAAAUAAAAUCUUUAAAAAAAAAUCAGGAAGCUGGGUAAGCUAUUUACAGCCACUUAGCAGCUCAUUCUAGAUGCUGUAAUACCGUGGAGAAAUGUUUAACCUCUAAGAGCAGCAAUCGGUUGUCAAUGUGGAUAUGGAAUUAUCUGCUCUGAAGUUGAUGGUGGUGGUGAUAAUAUAGGCAUCCAUGCCUUGCAUCUCAAUAGAGGAUGUUCCCAUUGUCUUACUUAAUGAAAACCACAGCAGCCCCUUCUAAUGAAAGGUUUGACAGGAGUAACUUGCUGACAUGGUAUAAUACAGCUUGCUGUCUUGGCCAGCAACUUAGUGCUGUUUCCCAUCUGCUGAGGGGGUGAGGCUGCACACUGGGGACGCCAGUCUUUAUGUGGCUUUCAACUACUUAGGCUUCAUUCCAAAAUGGGAAAUGAUGGGUGUCAAAAAUAAUGUCCCAGAGAGUCCAGACCAAGGUGACAGCCUCUCUAUGUUUUCCUUAUACUUUUACCAUAGCUUAUUAAUGAAGAGAAUCACAAGGUGAUAGCCAUGAAAGGAGGGAACAGAGCCCUCUGGGUAUCGGCUUCAUCUUGAGGAAGGUGGGCAGGCAGGGUGUGAGCCUUUCUUAAUCCUACAGUGGACAUUUAAAUACUUUGCCUUUGGUACACCGGUUUCUCUUCAGACUGCAUUACCCCUCCUUUUUGCUUUGUCUCAUGUGUCCUCAUCCUCUAUUUUUUAAAACAUUUUC